RNAcentral lists this ribosomal RNA (301 nucleotides) under uncultured bacterium. RNAcentral's name for it is "partial 16S ribosomal RNA". It matches the Rfam family "Bacterial small subunit ribosomal RNA", at positions 509 to 808 of the family's 1533-position model. The record is from RNAcentral.
CAGCCGCCGCGGUAAUACGUAGGGGGCGAGCGUUGUCCGAAGUUACUGGGCGUAAAGCGCGCGUAGGCGGCUUCUUAAGUCUGAGGUGAAAGGUUCAACGCUAAACGUGAACAGUGCCUUGGAUACUGGGGAGCUUGAGUAUGGGAGAGGGCAGUGGAAUGGCUGGUGUAGCGGUGAAAUGCGUAGAUAUCAGUCGGAACACCCAUGGCGAAGGCAGCUGCCUGGCCUAAUACUGACGCUGAGGUGCGAAAGCGUGGGGAGCGAACGGGAUUAGAGACCCCUGUAGUCCCUGUCUCUUAUU